This 2923-nucleotide ribosomal RNA is filed under the name Klebsiella pneumoniae. RNAcentral describes it as "23S ribosomal RNA". It matches the Rfam family "Bacterial large subunit ribosomal RNA". Lineage: Bacteria; Pseudomonadati; Pseudomonadota; Gammaproteobacteria; Enterobacterales; Enterobacteriaceae. RNAcentral also lists the same sequence under 1 other name. The record is from RNAcentral.
GGGUUGUGAGGUUAAGCGACUAAGCGUACACGGUGGAUGCCCUGGCAGUCAGAGGCGAUGAAGGACGUGCUAAUCUGCGAAAAGCGUCGGUAAGGUGAUAUGAACCGUUAUAGCCGGCGAUGUCCGAAUGGGGAAACCCAGUGUGAUUCGUCACACUAUCGUUAACUGAAUACAUAGGUUAACGAGGCGAACCGGGGGAACUGAAACAUCUAAGUACCCCGAGGAAAAGAAAUCAACCGAGAUUCCCCCAGUAGCGGCGAGCGAACGGGGAGCAGCCCAGAGUCUGAAUCAGCUUGUGUGUUAGUGGAACGGUCUGGAAAGUCCGACGGUACAGGGUGAUAGUCCCGUACACCAAAAUGCACAGGCUGUGAACUCGAAGAGUAGGGCGGGACACGUGGUAUCCUGUCUGAAUAUGGGGGGACCAUCCUCCAAGGCUAAAUACUCCUGACUGACCGAUAGUGAACCAGUACCGUGAGGGAAAGGCGAAAAGAACCCCGGCGAGGGGAGUGAAAAAGAACCUGAAACCGUGUACGUACAAGCAGUGGGAGCACCUUCGGGUGUGACUGCGUACCUUUUGUAUAAUGGGUCAGCGACUUAUAUUCUGUAGCAAGGUUAACCGUAUAGGGGAGCCGCAGGGAAACCGAGUCUUAACUGGGCGUUAAGUUGCAGGGUAUAGACCCGAAACCCGGUGAUCUAGCCAUGGGCAGGUUGAAGGUUGGGUAACACUAACUGGAGGACCGAACCGACUAAUGUUGAAAAAUUAGCGGAUGACUUGUGGCUGGGGGUGAAAGGCCAAUCAAACCGGGAGAUAGCUGGUUCUCCCCGAAAGCUAUUUAGGUAGCGCCUCGUGAACUCAUCUUCGGGGGUAGAGCACUGUUUCGGCUAGGGGGUCAUCCCGACUUACCAACCCGAUGCAAACUACGAAUACCGAAGAAUGUUAUCACGGGAGACACACGGCGGGUGCUAACGUCCGUCGUGAAGAGGGAAACAACCCAGACCGCCAGCUAAGGUCCCAAAGUCAUGGUUAAGUGGGAAACGAUGUGGGAAGGCACAGACAGCCAGGAUGUUGGCUUAGAAGCAGCCAUCAUUUAAAGAAAGCGUAAUAGCUCACUGGUCGAGUCGGCCUGCGCGGAAGAUGUAACGGGGCUAAACCAUGCACCGAAGCUGCGGCAGCGACACUAUGUGUUGUUGGGUAGGGGAGCGUUCUGUAAGCCUGCGAAGGUGUGCUGUGAGGCAUGCUGGAGGUAUCAGAAGUGCGAAUGCUGACAUAAGUAACGAUAAAGCGGGUGAAAAGCCCGCUCGCCGGAAGACCAAGGGUUCCUGUCCAACGUUAAUCGGGGCAGGGUGAGUCGACCCCUAAGGCGAGGCCGAAAGGCGUAGUCGAUGGGAAACAGGUUAAUAUUCCUGUACUUGGUGUUACUGCGAAGGGGGGACGGAGAAGGCUAUGUUAGCCGGGCGACGGUUGUCCCGGUUUAAGCAUGUAGGCUGGUUGUCCAGGCAAAUCCGGAUAAUCAAGGCUGAGGUGUGAUGACGAGGCACUACGGUGCUGAAGUAACAAAUGCCCUGCUUCCAGGAAAAGCCUCUAAGCAUCAGGUAACAUUAAAUCGUACCCCAAACCGACACAGGUGGUCAGGUAGAGAAUACCAAGGCGCUUGAGAGAACUCGGGUGAAGGAACUAGGCAAAAUGGUGCCGUAACUUCGGGAGAAGGCACGCUGGUGUGUAGGUGAAGUCCCUGCGGAUGGAGCUGAGACCAGUCGAAGAUACCAGCUGGCUGCAACUGUUUAUUAAAAACACAGCACUGUGCAAACACGAAAGUGGACGUAUACGGUGUGACGCCUGCCCGGUGCCGGAAGGUUAAUUGAUGGGGUUAUCCGUAAGGAGAAGCUCUUGAUCGAAGCCCCGGUAAACGGCGGCCGUAACUAUAACGGUCCUAAGGUAGCGAAAUUCCUUGUCGGGUAAGUUCCGACCUGCACGAAUGGCGUAAUGAUGGCCAGGCUGUCUCCACCCGAGACUCAGUGAAAUUGAACUCGCUGUGAAGAUGCAGUGUACCCGCGGCAAGACGGAAAGACCCCGUGAACCUUUACUAUAGCUUGACACUGAACAUUGAGCCUUGAUGUGUAGGAUAGGUGGGAGGCUUUGAAGCGUGGACGCCAGUCUGCGUGGAGCCAACCUUGAAAUACCACCCUUUAAUGUUUGAUGUUCUAACGUUGGCCCCUGACCGGGGUUGCGGACAGUGUCUGGUGGGUAGUUUGACUGGGGCGGUCUCCUCCCAAAGCGUAACGGAGGAGCACGAAGGUUAGCUAAUCCUGGUCGGACAUCAGGAGGUUAGUGCAAUGGCAUAAGCUAGCUUGACUGCGAGCGUGACGGCGCGAGCAGGUGCGAAAGCAGGUCAUAGUGAUCCGGUGGUUCUGAAUGGAAGGGCCAUCGCUCAACGGAUAAAAGGUACUCCGGGGAUAACAGGCUGAUACCGCCCAAGAGUUCAUAUCGACGGCGGUGUUUGGCACCUCGAUGUCGGCUCAUCACAUCCUGGGGCUGAAGUAGGUCCCAAGGGUAUGGCUGUUCGCCAUUUAAAGUGGUACGCGAGCUGGGUUUAGAACGUCGUGAGACAGUUCGGUCCCUAUCUGCCGUGGGCGCUGGAGAAUUGAGGGGGGCUGCUCCUAGUACGAGAGGACCGGAGUGGACGCAUCACUGGUGUUCGGGUUGUCAUGCCAAUGGCACUGCCCGGUAGCUAAAUGCGGAAGAGAUAAGUGCUGAAAGCAUCUAAGCACGAAACUUGCCCCGAGAUGAGUUCUCCCUGAGACUUUAAGUCUCCUGAAGGAACGUUAAAGACGAUGACGUUGAUAGGCCGGGUGUGUAAGCGCAGCGAUGCGUUGAGCUAACCGGUACUAAUGAACCGUGAGGCUUAACCUUACAACGCCGAAG